This is a non-coding RNA of Paramuricea clavata, 1017 nucleotides long. Lineage: Eukaryota; Metazoa; Cnidaria; Anthozoa; Malacalcyonacea; Plexauridae. The record is from the annotation of a GenBank genome assembly.
AUUGCAACAGCCGAUAGGAACAUUGCAAAUUCCCUCAAGGGAUUUGCAAAGAGUUUUUCAGAUUUGCAAAGCUAAUGAGGAAAAUUCCAAAUGAGUUACGAAGUCAAAAGAGAAACGCUUCACGUAGUUUACCUGUAACAGGUUUUGUCCACGAUUGUAGGUUAACUUAAAAUUCAAAACAAACUUCCCAAGAACUUGUUUAUAAAUUGGGAAAUAAAAGUUCAGAGAUCUUGUCUGAAUCAGUAGGAGUUUUCUUCUCUGAAGUUUUGAAAUAACAGACGUGCAGAAAUACAUAAACUAAAAAAGUUGUUUAAAUUUUAAUCGAGGGUUAGCGUUAACCCAGCUUUGAACAAUCAACCGUAGAUGCAUCAUCACCGGCGUGUGACGUCAUUUGCGGCCCGGGUUUAUUGUUAAAUGUCGAUAUGAAGUUAUACAGGGUGUCCCAAAAAAGUCCCCGUGUAGAGAUCACGACACCUUUGGGAAUUUAAUUUUUAUUGUACAUGAACGGCGGAAGUAUUUCAAAAGUCCCCUUCGUCCAAAUAAUGUAACACUUCGGUUACACUUUCAGUUAACGUACAAAUUCCCAGAGGUGUGACAACGCACGUUUAACAACAAAAGGGUGAUUUCUAUAGGGGAACUGGACUUUUUUUGGGACACCCUGUACAGACCAUUUGCAAAAUUACUAAAGACACAAUAGCCGGAAAUAAUGGUGGCAUCUUGGAACCCAGAACCUUUUUCAGACCUGGCAUUUUUUUGGCGUUGCAUAAUGCUCACAGGCACAGAAAAGAAUUUAUUAUGAAGAAUAGUUACUUGUGAGUAAACACAUGUUUUUAACUAUCCAUGGUUGAAUACUAAUACUAGCUGAAUAAAUAUAGCGAGAAAAAAAAUCGCCGUGAGAAAGUAGGAAGCGAUCCAAUUUUUUCAUGGCGGAUUUUUUUGAAGUGUGAAACUCACUGCUUGCACUUGCAAUAGACCCUUCCUCUUUUGAGUGAAACUUUGAUCUAGACAAGUCUGGAC